GGGAUUCGAUCUGAGCCGCACAAAAUGAACGGACGGCUGGAGAUGUCCACAGGUCUGGAAUUGGGGAGCGGUUCCGGUAGGGCCGGUGGCCUCCCCGUCGGCGAUCGCCGCUCGCGUCGCCGCCGACGACACCAGGAGCUCCGCCUGCCCGCCGCGCGCAGGAGGAGGCGAGGUUGGAAGGCGGUCACUCUGGCGUGGUACGUACUGAGCUCGUCUGGUCUUUCUCGUGCCUCCGGCUCCGCUUCGUUCGUCAACUAGGGUUUCCAUGUUCAUCGCUUCGACGCUUCCUGUAACUUCAGUGUGGGCUUCUCUUUGUUAGACGUUUCACUGCAAUGGAGUACAGAGAGGUCAGGAGGAGCAUUUGAUGAAUCAAGUAAAGGUGUACAGAAAAAUAAGCCUACUGGUUCGGAACUUUUCAUCUCUAUUUCCAUUAAGAGGUCAGGAGGAGGCUGGGUGGUGAGGUUGUACAAUUUUCUUUAUCUUUUUUUUUCCCAUUUCAAUCGCACGCUAAUAAUUAUUUGGGUUUAAAUCAUAUAUUCCAGUCACUAUCAACUAAUUAGAAUUAAAAACAAUUCUAGUGCUACAUUUCUAAUCUGGGCAUGUUUUGAUGGUAUAGAACCGAAAUGUCCGUCGUCUUUAAUCAAUGCCGUUUAGAUCAUUGGGAACAAUUGAGCUGGUGAAGCAGGGAAUUAACCAUUAUGGGGGUUAGAAUUGCUAUAGUACCUAGACUAUGUGAAAAUCGCUGAUAGAGCAAUCUUUCAUUUGUUUUAGCUAAGAAUAUGAGAUUGACAAUGCAAAAGCUAAAUAAGUUUACUGGGGUAAACAUGGCCAGUAUUGUGAUUUAAAGAAUUAUCAGUAGGAAACAUGGUGAUAGUAACAUGUAUGCUAGUUACUACUAUUCAUUUACACUUGAAGUUGGUUUUCCUUCAUAACUUUUUGCAAGGUUUGAUUGGUUUUAAUUUAUGUGCUUGCCCACCCAAAUUCAAGGUAAACCAUCAGUUUCAAUGAUUAUAUGGGCACCAGUCCUUGCCACAGUCCAAAUCUCCUUGCUUACCUCGGUCCAUGCUUAGUCAUCUUGUCUGUUCAUCUCAUCAUGUUUUCCUGAUGACCAUGUGACAUGUCACACAAAUGUACAGAAUUCAAUAGAAGUCAGUUUUUGAGUACUCAUAUCCGUGGUCUGUCAGUGAAUUGUGAAAAGACAAAGUGUGGGAAUUUGGAUGCGAAGCAACCAUGUUUAUUGUGCGAUCAGCGUUCGGCAGGUCAGUCUGAUAAUGCAGCGUAUCUGUACCACCGCUGUGUGCAUGUGGAUGGCCGCUCUGAGGCGUGACAUGUCGUAGUCACCUAUGCAGGAAUGCAUGGUAUGAUUGUAUAACUUGUUACUCAACUUCCGAAGUCCUAACGGCAUUUCAAAUGAGCUUCCAAAUUGUUGAAUUUGCUCUUCAAGGAAAAUCCACUAGAAAAAAAAUGUUGCUGACAAUACCCAAUGACAGGUGGAUCCUGCUGCAGUUUACAUCGGCAUGUAGCAAUUUGGUUCGAUGAUACUGCUCUGAUGUCCUUGACGAGGAGGGAAAUAAGGGUAUAUAAAAUAAACCCGUAUCGACCUUUGUCUGUCUGCUGUUUGUGGUGUCCUACAUUGCAGGAGCUAAUCUGAUUUGAAUUUUUAUGUUUUUAGAACAAGUUAAGAAAGCAAGCAGUUGUGCCAAACAAGGGAGUACAAAGCAGUUGGGUCAUAAAAAUUCAGGACAGGAUCUGUUCCUCUGUGCGUGCACUCUGAAACAUAUGCCAUCAUAGUGUUCAUAACCACUGGCCCAUUCAAGGGAUGAGCUUAUUUAAGAGAGCCACAGAAGAACUUCUGAAAUGACCAGGGAAAAGAUGCAAAAGCCGUGAUAUUGUGGUAGUAGUACACAAAGACAUUCCUUCGUCAUUGAUCUCCAACGGGAGCAGUGUCUGAUUACACAGUAACCGACCUACUCAAGCAAUCAUGCGUGUUCGUUGCUUAAAGGAUGGCUUUUCUUUGCUUUGCAAGUCUUGAUCCCUUCCUGUUCCUCCAAUGGCAAGCAAAAGCUAUGGCUUACCCAGCACUUUUGAGUUAGGACUAUGGCUAUUAUGUGAAGAGCCAUCAGUUUACUUGUACGGAAAAUAAAAGCGAAGCUGGCAUAGUGAUGUAAUAAUGGUAUGUAUGUCACUAACAAUCUCCAGUGUGGCGUCUUCAGUAACAUAGUGUUGUUCAGUUAGUUUGCACUCUUGUUUUCAUGUGUUUUACUAGCAUAGAUGGUCAGGGUUGUUCUACCAUUUCCUUGUCACUGGACAACUGAGUAGAUCACAAUUAUAGCUACCAAUAAAUGAGGUCGCUGCUGGUUUGCUGGGGUAGCACUUCACAAAGAGAGACUAUUCAAUUUUGGAUAUCAUUUUCUGUCAGUGGCCACCUGCUAAUUUGUUCGGCGUUUCAUGCUGGAUAAAAGAAGUGCACAUCAAGAAGAGGAGUAACUAUAACCAUGUGAUGGACCGAAUGAACUUAUGAUACAUCAUGUGUUUUACUAUCUCUCUAGGUCAGAAAUACUAGGACAACCCAGAUGAGGAACAGUACUUCUUGUUGCUGUAGCUUGGACUUAAAAGGCCAGUCAUGUGCUGAACUGCAGAUACUUGAUGUGCUCUCUUACCUUCAGGAUUAAACAAGUGACUGCUUCCUUCAUUGCAGUUGGGUUUUAUUUCCAGUUUAAUGAGCCUAUGAUUCUGUGAGUCGUCUUCUCUGCAUAGUAUUAUAAACAGAAGAAUAGAAGCUAGCAUCUGCUGCUUGCUGGAAGUAAAAUAUUGCUAACACAGGUUCCUGCAUCAAGACAACAGUGGUGGAGGUGGGGGACCUUUGGAGCAGGAGUUUAGGACCGACGCAUGGCCCCUCCUUGUGCAUGCAUCAUUGUACAUAUAUACUUUCACCGUACCGUCCGCAAUUGUGGUCCAAGCACUGUUACAACUGAGUAUGUGUACCUUUGAGAAGGUGAUUCAAACUUCAGUCAUGGCACCUUGAGUUUGCUACUCAUUUGGGUUGCCUGGCUUUUAAGGCCUUGAGAAGUUUGAGCUUUUCAAGUAACUUGUGCAGGUGUGCUUUAUACAUGGAUUCCCCUUUAUUUGGGUAGAUUCAGUUGGACGACAAAGUGAGCACAAACUAUACCUGAAAGCUGAAAGAGAAAAAGAGGAUCAGGGAUUGGAAGGAUGGAUUCAAGCUUUAGACAGAACAUGUUGUAAUGUCGCCUGAAAAGCUUGCGCACGGUUUGAGUGGUAGCUGCUUUGCUUAGUUACAAACUCUAGGUUUGAUCUUUCUAAAAAUCGUAAAUUAGGAAUGUGUAAUCUUGCGGAACUGCUAUUGACAGAGUGUACAAAUGGUGAAAUGGGUCAAAGUUGCCGGUCUUAAAAUCGGAAUGGUUUCUUUCAGCUCAUUCCAAUGCAGAAACCAAGUUCAGUCAA
This is a non-coding RNA of Oryza sativa Japonica Group (Japanese rice), 3462 nucleotides long. The record is from RefSeq and is a predicted model, not a curated record. NCBI's taxonomy places the organism in Eukaryota, Viridiplantae, Streptophyta, Magnoliopsida, Poales, Poaceae.